This 514-nucleotide ribosomal RNA is filed under the name uncultured bacterium. Its description in RNAcentral is "bacterial SSU rRNA". It matches the Rfam family "Bacterial small subunit ribosomal RNA", at positions 32 to 518 of the family's 1533-position model. The record is from RNAcentral.
GACGCUGGCGGCGUGCCUAAUACAUGCAAGUCGAACGGUCUUUCUAUGGAAGCUUGCUUCCACUGAGAAGAUAGUGGCGAACGGGUGAGUAACACGUGGGUAACCUGCCCAUAAGAGGGGGAUAACAUCCGGAAACGGGUGCUAAUACCGCAUAGUUUUCUUGAUCGCAUGAUCGGGAAAGGAAAGACGGCCUUUGUGCUGUCGCUUAUGGAUGGACCCGCGGCGUAUUAGUUAGUUGGUGAGGUAACGGCUCACCAAGACGAUGAUACGUAGCCGACCUGAGAGGGUGAUCGGCCACAUUGGGACUGAGACACGGCCCAAACUCCUACGGGAGGCAGCAGUAGGGAAUCUUCCGCAAUGGACGAAAGUCUGACGGAGCAACGCCGCGUGAGUGAAGAAGGUUUUUCCGGAUCGUAAAACUCUGUUGUCAGAGAAGAACAAGUUGGAGAGUAACUGCUCCAGCCUUGACGGUAUCUGACCAGAAAGCCACGGCUAACUACGUGCCAGCAGCAGC